This 132-nucleotide ribosomal RNA is filed under the name Geotalea uraniireducens. The record is from RNAcentral. Lineage: Bacteria; Pseudomonadati; Thermodesulfobacteriota; Desulfuromonadia; Geobacterales; Geobacteraceae.
GCGACAAGUUUCUCGGUGGCUAUGCCGAGAGGGUCACACCCGUUCCCAUCCCGAACACGGAAGUUAAGCCUCUCAGGGCCGAUGGUACUGCACGGGUAGCUGUGUGGGAGAGUAGGUCGCCGCCGGGAUUUA